GACGAACGCUGGCGGCGUGCUUAACACAUGCAAGUCGAACGGAAAGGCCCCCUUGUGGGGUACUCGAGUGGCGAACGGGUGAGUAACACGUGAGUAACCUACCCUUGACUUUGGGAUAACUUCAGGAAACUGGGGCUAAUACCGGAUAGGAGCUCCUGCUGCAUGGUGGGGGUUGGAAAGUUUCGGCGGUUGGGGAUGGACUCGCGGCUUAUCAGCUUGUUGGUGGGGUAGUGGCUCACCAAGGCUUUGACGGGUAGCCGGCCUGAGAGGGUGACCGGCCACAUUGGGACUGAGAUACGGCCCAGACUCCUACGGGAGGCAGCAGUGGGGAAUAUUGCACAAUGGGCGGAAGCCUGAUGCAGCAACGCCGCGUGCGGGAUGACGGCCUUCGGGUUGUAAACCGCUUUCGCCUGUGGCGAAGCGUGAGUGACGGUAAUGGGUAAAGAAGUACCGGCUAACUACGUG
Molecule: ribosomal RNA, 465 nt
Filed under: uncultured bacterium
Lineage: Bacteria
Description: partial 16S ribosomal RNA
Rfam family: Bacterial small subunit ribosomal RNA
Source: RNAcentral